RNAcentral lists this ribosomal RNA (578 nucleotides) under Afrozavrelia kribiensis. RNAcentral's name for it is "eukaryotic LSU rRNA". It matches the Rfam family "Eukaryotic large subunit ribosomal RNA", at positions 451 to 900 of the family's 3401-position model. The record is from RNAcentral. Lineage: Eukaryota; Metazoa; Arthropoda; Insecta; Diptera; Chironomidae.
UUCAAUACUGCCUUCAACCGCAGUGUGCACUUUUCCCUUAGUAAGACGUCGUGAUCCAUUAGAAAUCGAUAGACGCCAGUCUAUGUUGGGUCAUCAAUGAGCCGAUGCGAAGUUUGUUGGAACAAAUGGCGUGGUCUUUCAACGGCCGCGUGUAUUGUCUGAUGAGCGCGUCGUCACUCGCUAUGACUGUCUGAUGGAUUUUAGGGAUCAUAUCAUUGGUGUUUCGGCACCACUCGCUUCGGCGGGCAUGGAUAUGUGUCUGAUCAACGACGGUUAAAUUUGGGAUACCUUUUGGACCCGUCUUGAAACACGGACCAAGGAGUCUAUCUAGUAUGCGAGUAAAUGGGUUGUUGAUGAAACCUAUUUGCGUAAAAAACUUGACUGUGUCAUGGGAUUACGAGUGAGUCUCGUGCUUGCUCUUCCAUCCCGGGGUAUUUUUAUCAACAUAUGAGCAAUCAUAUGGAAAAUAUACCAUGAGCAUACUGGAUACGACCCGAAAGAUGGUGAACUAUGCCUGAUCAGGUCGAAGUCAGGGGAAACCCUGAUGGAGGACCGAAGCAGUUCUGACGUGCAAAUCG